RNAcentral lists this transfer RNA (77 nucleotides) under Alkaliphilus sp. RNAcentral describes it as "tRNA-Arg". It matches the Rfam family "tRNA". Rfam says of the family: Transfer RNA (tRNA) molecules are approximately 80 nucleotides in length. Their secondary structure includes four short double-helical elements and three loops (D, anti-codon, and T loops). Lineage: Bacteria; Bacillati; Bacillota; Clostridia; Peptostreptococcales; Natronincolaceae. RNAcentral also lists the same sequence under 2 other names. The record is from RNAcentral.
GUGCCCAUAGCUCAGAUGGAUAGAGCAAUGGCUUCCUAAGCCGUGUGCCCGGGGUUCGAAUCCCUGUGGGCAUGCCA